Molecule: RNA transcript, 3224 nt
Organism: Vitis vinifera (wine grape)
Lineage: Eukaryota; Viridiplantae; Streptophyta; Magnoliopsida; Vitales; Vitaceae
Gene name: probable inactive poly [ADP-ribose] polymerase SRO1
Exons: 8
Source: RefSeq, a predicted model, not a curated record
AAUGGCACUUGCGUAAUUUCGUUUGUAAAUAAUUUGGCAGGCGGUAUUGCUGUGAAUGGAUCUUAAACACUGACAGCUAUAAGAGGAACGUUGGGUUUCUUGAUUUUUGUACCAUCGGCUCUCGUCCGUUCUUGUUGUCGGGUCUAUCCUUAGACAAUUUUCACGUCAAUGCAGUGAUUGCUUCGAUGGGGGUUUUCUGAUAUUGUGCACGAGAUCGGAGGAGCCAUGGCUUCGAUUUUGCCAUCUGAAAUCAGUAGACCGAAGAUCAAUGUUCCCAGAAUCGGUGCUGUGGUCCCUCCAAAUCCUAGAAUCCGAUGCAAGGAUUAUGUUCAGGAUUGUUGUUCCUCUCAUCUGGAGGUUCAGAACCAGGCCAACUUCGAACGCAGCGGUGUUCCAUCAAGAUUCAUGUUCUAUAGAGAUGGUUCCUGGGUUGAUUUCCCAAGCCAGGUGUUGGAGAAUGUGAGACCGGGUUUCUUGGAGCGCAAGACUACGAUGGAUGUUUCGAUCGAUGGCUCAGAGUAUCGUUUCGAUUUUCUGAGAAUGUUGCAGAUCGAUAUCUUGACGGGUAAGGGAAGAUCGAUUGCUUGGAUUGAUGCGAAUGGGAAGUGUUUCUUUCCGAAAUUAUUCGUUAGCGAAGAGGCUGCCGAUGGAUCGGAAAAUCUGAAUACGAAGAGUAAAAUAAGAUUCGGUGAAUACUUUGGAAAGAGGAAGAGGGAGAGAUUGGAAUCUCAGGAAGAAAGCGAGGGAAAUUCGUCAACUAAUCGAGAAGCUGUGUCGAGACGGUGGAAUUCAAAUGAUCAAGAAGCUGUAUCAAAACGACAGCGUAUUCAAACAACAUGUGAUUCAGAGACAUGUAAGUGGCCGAACGUGAAAUUGAUGAAAAAAGGAGGCAGACCGUAUGCAAUGGCCGAGAAGUUCUUUUUGUCUCGGUUAAAAGACACUGAUCCAGCUGUGAGAGUAACCGCAAUUCAUCAGUGUACGUGGAAGGGUCCUCUGGAAAAAGCACGGUGGGAUGUUUUUCAUAAGCAGAUGGAGAGGACAAAGGCUGCCCAAGGGAUCUGCAAUACCACAUUUGCUUGGCAUGGGACGUCGGCCAAAACCGUAGCCAGCAUUUUAACAUAUGGCUUUGGGGUGCGGAGCCAGAUUGAUGGAUCUGAACCACAUGGGUUUGGUAUAUACCUGUCUUCUGUGCGUUUACCGCAUAUAAGUGCUAUGAUGUCCGAGGCAGAUGAUAAUGAAGAAAAGCAUGUAUUACUGUGCCGAGUAAUAUUAGGUAAUGUUGAAAUGGUUGAGGAUGGACCGCUUCCUUCUAGUGUGAAUUUUGACACUGGUGUGGAUAAUAUUGAGAAUCCUACUUGGUAUGUGGUAAAGUGGGCCAAUAUGAACACUCACAUUCUUCCCCAGUGUGUUGUGAGCUACAAGUCUUCCCAUAAUGCAUCAGGACAAAUGAGACCGUUAGCAUUUCUGAAGUGGGUUCCAUAUUCGUCAAAUGCAUUUGUUGUGAAAUUGUUUUCCAAGUUGGAGAUUUUGCUUCCUUCUGAAAAAGUUCAGGAAUUGGAGUCUUGGUGCAAAACAUACAAGGAUGGCAAGCUGCCCAAAGUGCAAGCAACAUCUCCAUCCUGGUUAUCAUUAAGUUAUUGGUGACUGUGAAACUGGCCCUCAGUAAAUAUAACAGGGACAUCAAACCACCAGCGGCUGCUGCUGCUGCUGCACCAUACACUGUCCAUUGGUUAACAUGAGCCGUUUUCCAAUCCUGUUUCAUCUCAAUUAUACAACACUUUGCAGCCCAGUGGUGCCAUUAGCUGUCCCCAGUUGUCACUGCUUGAUUAUAUCAUCCAAGAUAUUAUAUCUAACAGCAUCGCCCUCCAUCUUUAUCUAUUGUCAUACUACAAUCUUAUUUAUUGUUGCACUACAAUCUGCUCACAUUUCUGCUUAUUUGCCAAGGUGCUUUGGUUGUUCUCUUUGGAGGAUCAACUGUUUUGUAGAUCAUCAUAAUUACCAUGAAGAUUGGGCCAAACCUUUGACAUUGUGAUCUGGCAUUUGGAAAGUGCUUCUGAUGCUCUAGAUUUGAUGGAGAUGAUGUGUGUACUUCAAAUGUUUUUUUAUUAACUUAUAAACUCAACAGCACAACAAAGCCUCAAUCUGGGAAACCAUGUGGAGCGAGAGUCGCUCAGGUCUUCCGGUUGACCUUGCCCAGACACAGUGCGAGUGCCUGGAGGGGGGCUGACAAAAGCAAGCUCACAUUUGUGAGCAUUACCGUUCCUGAAAAGCGUUUUUGGGAAAGUUAAUGUGCAUACGUUAUUCCAUUAAUACCUAACGGUUGUGCGUGUAAUUGAGGAACUGAAGGGCAGUUGCAAGAGCCUAUAAAAGAGCCGAAGGCAGGACGAAGGGGAUAUUCUGAACUCUGUAUGCAUUAAGUCUUUUUGCAGGAAAGCACUGACUUAACCUUUGGGGAAUCGCCUAGCCUUUUCUGCAAGAUCCAAUAGAUCAUAUGCAAUCUUAAAUUCCCUAGUUAAUUUUUCAUCUUAAAGCUUCCAAAUGAUAAAAUAUCUGGAAUUUGGAAAAGAGCCAUUUGAUUUUGUGACUCCUAUUAGUCAAAUAUUAGAAAAUUUUCUGAAACAAUUGAAUGAAUUAUUUGAUGAUUCCACAAUAUUGCAUCAAACAUAUUAAAUUUUCAGUCAAGUGGAUGAGUUUAAUCAUCUAAUUCCUUUUGUAAUUUUGUUUAUCAUCUACAAUGGUGUUGCUUAGCAUACUUUCAAAUAUUUCUGGGAUCGAUAAUUUCAUAUUGUAAUAAUGCAUAAAACGUAAGAUCUCCUUUUCAAGCACCAUUGCAUGACUUAGGGGUUUCUCAUACUAUAUUUGACAUGUAUUUGUAAUUCUGUGGCUUUCUUUCUGACCUGUUUUCAAGUCGGCUUUUGUCUUAGUAGCUAGUUGGCGACUUGAUGGCAAAGGAUGCUGAAUUGUCAGUCUGGACGGUUGAGUAAUGUAAAUAAAUAAGCAUUUUAAAGCUCGACUGGCGAUGAUUUUGUCUUUCUGGAAUCUGAAUGAGACUGCUAGGAAUGCUGUUGCUCGUCUGCUUGAGGUGGAAGGUAUUGAUGAAACUCCUCUAUUUUUAGACCAUCAAAAUAUGUCUAUUUCAAAUACCCGUACUUCAAGCCUAGACCUUCUUUUGAAAUGCAAUAUUAUAUAUGGUUUUAUUUAAAUUUAUUUUCCUUUUUUUUUUU